UUUAUUUUUGAAUUGAAAUACCUGUGCUUAAUGGUAAUUUAUAAAUGAUAUUUAAAUGUUGAAAAAGAUUUUAAAUUCAUUUUAUUUAUUCUUCUUCCAUACAUUUUUUUUUAUCUUUAAGCAAUAAGUUUGGUCUGGCAUGGUUUACUCCAACCUGUGAAGUUAACCUUUGUGGUCAUGCAACUCUGGCAUCUUCUGCCGUUUUAUCCUUUGCUUUAAAUAACAAAUCAGAAAUUAUGGAAUUUGGAGCUCUUAGUGCCAUUUUGAAAGCUAAAAGCCUAAAUGAUAACAAGAUGCAAAUUUAUUUGAUUGUCCAUAAUUUUACGCCAGAUGCAAGGACCUCAAGGUAAUACCACAAGGAUCCACCAUCACAAGAUGAAGGGGUAAAGGGCCACUCCUGCCUCAGGCACCCCGACCAACUGAAUUUUCAAAUUUUGGGAUUGUUUUGCAUACUACUACGAUAGAUAAGGGCCAGUUUGGAUGAUUCAAAUACGGUUAAUGGAAGGUAGAACUGCCGGACUUAUUUGGAUGCUUAUCUGUGAAACAAUUUCGGAUAUUUGAAGAUUUUUCUG
Molecule: long non-coding RNA, 572 nt
Organism: Parasteatoda tepidariorum (common house spider)
Lineage: Eukaryota; Metazoa; Arthropoda; Arachnida; Araneae; Theridiidae
Source: RefSeq, a predicted model, not a curated record